Molecule: long non-coding RNA, 706 nt
Organism: Camellia sinensis
Lineage: Eukaryota; Viridiplantae; Streptophyta; Magnoliopsida; Ericales; Theaceae
Source: RefSeq, a predicted model, not a curated record
AACACCAAAAUAUCUAGAGAGAGAGAGAGGAAACCGUGAAAGGGAGAGAGGGAAGAGAGACAACUUUCCCAACAUCCAUGGAGGCUUUGAAGAUGAUUGAAGAGAAUUGAAGGAAAAGAAAGAAGAUCGCCCAUGGGACUUAGAGGAAUUAAAGAGAGCUAAGAGAUAGACAAGGAUUGAGUUAGGUCAAGACGAGGACAUCGUUCCACCGCUAUCAGAGACCUACCAUUGUGAGUCAUCGGGGAUUGACACUAGAAUUGUACCAAGGUUUGCCUGUCUGCCAAGACACCUGGGGUGGAGGCAAUCCAAGUUAAUGCUGAUGAAGGUGGAUUUACACAAACAUGUGGUGGCAUAUAUUGGGUGAUCUUCCCAGUUGGAUGUUGUCCCUUGCUCAUUCCUGAUAAAUUUUCUUUUUAUUGCCAGAAUGCAAAACUAUUAUUUUCAUGUGACAAAAUGCAUUUUUGGAACACGCCAAGCAUCCUUGACUUCCAUGUUACUGAGUUAUAAUGCGCCCACAUUAUUCACCAUGUUUGCUCAAGCUUUUUUAUAUUGUUGUUUUUGAUUGACAAGAAGUUUCUUUUGACAUUUUCAAACAUAUCUUUGGAACUAACUCACAUUGUUUUUAAUUUCUCACUUUUUUUUGUAUUGUUCUUCUUGUAUUAUUAAACUUAUUUUUAAUUUUUGAGUCUUUUCAGAUGUUUAAUUC